RNAcentral lists this ribosomal RNA (648 nucleotides) under uncultured bacterium. RNAcentral describes it as "bacterial SSU rRNA". It matches the Rfam family "Bacterial small subunit ribosomal RNA", at positions 56 to 714 of the family's 1533-position model. The record is from RNAcentral.
UGCAGUCGAGCGGGGACAUCCAAGUAGCAAUAUGAGGGUGUUCCAGCGGCGGACGGGUGAGUAACGCGUGAGCAACCUGUCCCGAACAGGGGGAUAACGAGCCGAAAGGCUCACUAAUACCGCAUAAGACCACGGUGCCGCAUGGCACAGGGGUCAAAGGAGAAAUCCGGUUCGGGGUGGGCUCGCGUCUGAUUAGCCAGUUGGCGGGGUAACGGCCCACCAAAGCGACGAUCAGUAGCCGACCUGAGAGGGUGAUCGGCCACAUUGGAACUGAGAGACGGUCCAAACUCCUACGGGAGGCAGCAGUGGGGAAUAUUGGGCAAUGGGCGAAAGCCUGACCCAGCAACGCCGCGUGAAGGAAGAAGGUUUUCGGAUCGUAAACUUCUAUCCUUGGUGAAGAUAAUGACGGUAGCCAAGAAGGAAGCCCCGGCUAACUACGUGCCAGCAGCCGCGGUAAUACGUAGGGGGCAAGCGUUGUCCGGAAUGAUUGGGCGUAAAGGGCGCGUAGGCGGCCUGGUAAGUCUGGAGUGAAAGUCCUGCUUUUAAGGUAGGAAUUGCUUUGGAUACUGCCGGGCUUGAGUGCAGGAGAGGUAAGUGGAAUUCCCGGUGUAGCGGUGAAAUGCGUAGAGAUCGGGAGGAACACCAGUG